GGCAAGAUGGCCGAGCGGUCUAAGGCGCCAGCUUCAGGUUAAGAUCUGUCCUGCUGGUGUGGAAACACGCGCGAGUUCGAAUCUCGUUCUUGUCA
Molecule: transfer RNA, 95 nt
Organism: Colletotrichum gloeosporioides Cg-14
Lineage: Eukaryota; Fungi; Ascomycota; Sordariomycetes; Glomerellales; Glomerellaceae
Rfam family: tRNA
About the family: Transfer RNA (tRNA) molecules are approximately 80 nucleotides in length. Their secondary structure includes four short double-helical elements and three loops (D, anti-codon, and T loops).
Source: Rfam